UUAUAACGGGGCACCUCUCGUCAAACUUUUAUGACCCCCUCCCCCACCCGGUGACAGUUGCUAUCUGACAGGUCGUUUUUAUGACCCUUUGACAGGGGGGCGGGACCAUCAAUCAAAAUCUGUACAAGUUGUCAACUUUAGACAGAAAGUAUUUAAUGGGUUUAUGACGGGUCAUUUAGAGUGAUUGUUUUUCCUGAGUGUGUUUUAUGUCACGCGUAUGCAGUCAUUAAACAUGACAGGUUGUCUUUGUGACAUUUGCUGUUUAUUGACAUUUGUUGUAUCUAUCUAUCACCCCUCCCUUUUCGACCCGUGCGCCUCUCAAUACGGCCUGCAUUUCUCUCACAGGGGUGCGUGUUGUAAAGCGAUUAAAGAUUUCUAAAACUCAAUGUUGGUAAAACAAUCCCCCAUUACGGCGUCAAAAAAGUAAAUGUUUAUUUUAGAUUUUAGACAAAUCAUGAACAAUGCUACGAUUAAAACAUAUUUUUGUAACAUCACAAGUUAUUUAAUGAAAUAUACCGUAUACGUGUAUAGUUUAAGCAAUGAUCUGAGCCAUAACCUUCGGAGCCGGCAAUACUAUAAUCUUUAGACGAAAGUCUAAACUGAAUACAAUUUUAAACGAUUCAUGAGUUCCGGGAAUCUGUUCAUGACCUGGUCUAUAGUUUCACGCGUAUUAAAGAUCCGGCGGUGCAUGACAAAGCGCCGGGUGAGUGUUCAUAUCUGCCAUUUUAAAAUAAUGUUAAUAAAUGUAAUUCUGUCCACUAUGGCAAAAUAGGAUUUUAUUUUAGAUUUAGUGGAAUCUUUAACCAAGUCUCUGAUUAAGACAUGUGUAUACGUGCACAGAUGGUGACAGAGAAACUUAUAUAUGACGUUAAUAAUCUUUUAAAUGUUUUUAAGACGUAUUCACCCCAUUUUGGGGUUUUAUUUUUAAUUAAAGGCUUCUUAAAACAUGUGUGAAUAUGUAUAUAUUAUACAAAGAGUCUUAUAUUGUCUGCUCUGACAAAAAUAAAGUAUUUUUUUAGGUUUAGGGGAAUUGACUGCGUGUGUCUUAUAAAUACAACUUGAUAAUACGUUUGUUUUGUAAAGAGACUUAUUUAAAGUCACGCAAGAAUAAAAUAUUUUAGUUGUAACUGGUUAAACUUAAAGCCGAUAUUUUCUAUCGAACUAGUCUAUUUUCUGUUCAGACACAAAGUUUUCUGAUGCUGAUAUUAUGUCAGUGUGUGUUUGUGUGGGGGUCGUGUGAUGUAAUCUUUGAAAGUUUAUGACCGAACCUUUAUUGGGGAGCGACAAGAGAUCUCCCGGAAUCAGUUUGGAUGGAGCAGAGCUGUUAUACUCAAGUCUAUUGGUAUGUAUGUGUUUCGCUGUGUUCGUUCCAGUAUUUUGUAUGAUUUAUUUAAAAACUAAAAAUUCGAUCUCUGGUAUUGCAGCGAAAUUGUCUAAACUGGUAUUAACUAUUCCUGGUAAAUCGCGGAGAAGAGUGGCCUGAACAAAAAAGUCAGACCGAGACUAGAACCUCCCGCAGCGUAACACGGAAAUCUUGGAACAAAAGAGACGCCGACUGGCUCGUGUUGUCCGGUUUGGAUAUCAGAGGCAAAGCGAACGUUGUGUGUACUAUUGCAAAAUAUAUAGCGGAUCUCCACGGUUAGGAUACAGACCACAACGCUUUGGACGUAUCUUUAAAAAAGAUUAAAAUCAGAGACUUUUUGGAUUUGUCUGGGGACAUUUUAAACAUUUUGUGGCAAAUUGGAUUUAAAACAUUUCGGAUACUGGAUACCUAGUUUGAUUUGUCCACAGAGCUUGUUUAAGACGUUUUCACCGCAUUUUAGGGUUUAUUUUUAAUUAAAGGUUUCUUAAAACAUGUGUGAAAAUGUGUAUAUUAUACAAUGAGUCUUAUAUUGUCUGCUCUGACAUAAAUAAAUUUUUAUAUUAGAUUUUAGAUCAA
Molecule: long non-coding RNA, 1939 nt
Organism: Paramisgurnus dabryanus
Lineage: Eukaryota; Metazoa; Chordata; Actinopteri; Cypriniformes; Cobitidae
Source: RefSeq, a predicted model, not a curated record